RNAcentral lists this ribosomal RNA (373 nucleotides) under Theileria buffeli. RNAcentral's name for it is "SSU rRNA". It matches the Rfam family "Eukaryotic small subunit ribosomal RNA", at positions 514 to 924 of the family's 1831-position model. The record is from RNAcentral. Lineage: Eukaryota; Apicomplexa; Aconoidasida; Piroplasmida; Theileriidae.
AUGAUGGGAAUUUAAACCUCUUCCAGAGUAUCAAUUGGAGGGCAAGUCUGGUGCCAGCAGCCGCGGUAAUUCCAGCUCCAAUAGCGUAUAUUAAAAUUGUUGCAGUUAAAAAGCUCGUAGUUGAAUUUCUGCUGCAUUACAUAUCUCUUGUUUGAGUUUGUUUUUGUGGCUUAUUUCGGUUUGAUUUUUUCUUUCCGGAUGAUUACUUUGAGAAAAUUAGAGUGCUCAAAGCAGGCUUUUGCCUUGAAUAGUUUAGCAUGGAAUAAUAAAGUAGGACUUUGGUUCUAUUUUGUUGGUUUUAGGUACCAAAGUAAUGGUUAAUAGGAACAGUUGGGGGCAUUCGUAUUUAACUGUCAGAGGUGAAAUUCUUAGA